CCUACGGGUGGCUGCAGUGGGGAAUAUUGGACAAUGGGGGGAACCCUGAUCCAGCCAUGCCGCGUGUGUGAAGAAGGCCCUCGGGUUGUAAAGCACUUUCAGUGAGGAAGAACGCCUGGUGGUUAAUACCCAUCAGGAAAGACAUCACUCACAGAAGAAGCACCGGCUAACUCCGUGCCAGCAGCCGCGGUAAUACGGAGGGUGCGAGCGUUAAUCGGAAUUACUGGGCGUAAAGCGCGCGUAGGUGGCUUGAUAAGCCGGUUGUGAAAGCCCCGGGCUCAACUUGGGAACGGCAUCCGGAACUGUCAAGCUAGAGUGCAGGAGAGGAAGGUAGAAUUCCCGGUGUAGCGGUGAAAUGCGUAGAGAUCGGGAGGAAUACCAGUGGCGAAGGCGGCCUUCUGGACUGACACUGACACUGAGGUGCGAAAGCGUGGGUAGCAAACAGGAUUAGAUACCCUUGUAGUC
This 465-nucleotide ribosomal RNA is filed under the name Vreelandella stevensii. Its description in RNAcentral is "partial 16S ribosomal RNA". It matches the Rfam family "Bacterial small subunit ribosomal RNA", at positions 338 to 795 of the family's 1533-position model. The record is from RNAcentral. Lineage: Bacteria; Pseudomonadati; Pseudomonadota; Gammaproteobacteria; Oceanospirillales; Halomonadaceae.